GACGAACGCUGGCGGCGUGCUUAACACAUGCAAGUCGAACGGAAAGGCCCUGCUUUUGUGGGGUGCUCGAGUGGCGAACGGGUGAGUAACACGUGAGUAACCUGCCCUUGACUUUGGGAUAACUUCAGGAAACUGGGGCUAAUACCGGAUAGGAGCUCCUGCUGCAUGGUGGGGGUUGGAAAGUUUCGGCGGUUGGGGAUGGGUUCGCGGCUUAUCAGUUGGUGGUUGGGGAGGUGGCUUACCAAGGCUUCGACGGGUAGCCGCCCUGAGGGGGUGACCGGCCACAUUGGGACUGAGAUACGGCACAGACUCCUACGGGAGGCAGCAGUGGGGAAUAUUGCACAAUGGGCGGAAGCCUGAUGCAGCAACGCCGCGUGCGGGAUGACGGCCUUCGGGUUGUAAACCGCUUUCGCCUGUGACGAAGCGUGAGUGACGGUAAUGGGUAAAGAAGCACCGGCUAACUACGUG
Molecule: ribosomal RNA, 468 nt
Filed under: uncultured bacterium
Lineage: Bacteria
Description: partial 16S ribosomal RNA
Rfam family: Bacterial small subunit ribosomal RNA
Source: RNAcentral